GAGUAAUUUGACACAUUGUGUGGGAAGUGUAGCUUUCCCGGAUUGAACAGAUGACUUUCGACCUAAGGUUUCUGAAGCUGUUUCCUGAGAUGUUCAUACAUGAUAUCUAGAUAUGUUUUAGACCAGUGAUUGAAAUGGAUUACUUGAUUAGAUUAAAUAAUGUAAAUUUCCAGGCAGAAACAAAGUGAAAAGAGGUGGACCUGAUCUUUUCUCAUGUAGCAACUUCUAUUUUGGUAAAGUAGAUAACGUUACUGGAUUGGAGACAUUCAUAUUUUCCUUGCUGACUCUAGGAAUGCUGAUGGUUUCAUCGAUAAUGCCGAGCUGAAUAUCAUCGCGGGUUUUGGGGAGCAAGUUACAGAGGAGGCAAUUCAUGAAUUCAUGACACAAUCGGACAAGAACAAUAAUGGCAAACUUGAUUUUGAUGAAUUGGUGAAGAUGGUGGAGAAUGUCCAGUAAAAAAGCAACAUCCCUCAGCAACCCAUUACAAUUCAACAAUUUAAUGAAUUGUGUGUUGUUGCCCUUCUUCAGCCAACUGAACAGAUAUCUGAAAUAAAAAUGAUGAUUGCAAAUAAUUCAAAAUCUGUUCUACAGGACUGAAGCUACAUAUGUAGCAGACAGCUUCCUGGCUGCUACAGUUUUUUCUUUGUGAGGAAGAAGCAAUCUCCUAUGUACGAAACGCUUUGUCAUUUUGCUACCAGCACGGAACACUACACAGUUUAUUUGCAACCCUUUCCUAAUAAACCUAAUGUCAAUGUUUUUCCGA
Long non-coding RNA from Rhincodon typus (whale shark), 763 nucleotides. RefSeq lists it as uncharacterized. NCBI's taxonomy places the organism in Eukaryota, Metazoa, Chordata, Chondrichthyes, Orectolobiformes, Rhincodontidae. The transcript has 2 exons. The record is from RefSeq and is a predicted model, not a curated record.